RNAcentral lists this non-coding RNA (98 nucleotides) under Pseudobdellovibrio exovorus. Its description in RNAcentral is "Bdellovibrio exovorus Guanine sequence". It matches the Rfam family "Purine riboswitch aptamer". Rfam says of the family: Riboswitches are metabolite binding domains within certain messenger RNAs that serve as precision sensors for their corresponding targets. Allosteric rearrangement of mRNA structure is mediated by ligand binding, and this results in modulation of gene expression. A class of riboswitches that selectively recognises guanine and becomes saturated at concentrations as low as 5 nM. RNAcentral also lists the same sequence under 1 other name. Lineage: Bacteria; Pseudomonadati; Bdellovibrionota; Bdellovibrionia; Bdellovibrionales; Pseudobdellovibrionaceae. The record is from RNAcentral.
UAAAUGUUAGAAAUACGAGCUAAUAUAAGUUCAGAAUUUGGCUGAACGUCUCUACCAACUGCCGCUAAGAGUUGACUAUUGGAACGUCUAUAAAGUGC